Molecule: long non-coding RNA, 382 nt
Organism: Lagenorhynchus albirostris (white-beaked dolphin)
Lineage: Eukaryota; Metazoa; Chordata; Mammalia; Artiodactyla; Delphinidae
Exons: 3
Source: RefSeq, a predicted model, not a curated record
CCCUGGGCCGAGAUGCCGAGUGCACUUGAAACCAGGCUCAUCUCUGGAGGCUUGGAGUUGCAGGAUUGCCCACAGCAUCUUCUUUCCUUGCUGGCCAAAGCAGAACACCAAACGCUGCCGCGGCAUCCUGGGAAAGCACGUCUGUGGGUGCUGUGUUUCCAUCACCAUAGUUCCUACAGGCCGUCUCCCUAAAAGUGCUGCAGGCCCUGCCCCAGGCUGAUGAGACAUCACUCCUGCCGGAGGGGUGUUUGUCUUCACAUGACCAGGACAAGAGACGGGGCCAGAGAGGAUCUAACUUCCAUGGAAUUUUUUUCUAACCUGACACUGCGAUUUGGGGGAGCGGGCCAUUUUUAUUCUUAUUUCAAAUUCUCUGAGCCAUGGA